Aquila chrysaetos chrysaetos is the source of this 824-nucleotide long non-coding RNA. RefSeq lists it as uncharacterized. NCBI's taxonomy places the organism in Eukaryota, Metazoa, Chordata, Aves, Accipitriformes, Accipitridae. The transcript is spliced from 4 exons. The record is from RefSeq and is a predicted model, not a curated record.
AAGAUCUGUCUUAGUGGAACUAUCAACCCUAGAGCUAUGUCUCCUGCUAUGGAUAAUGGUGGAAAUGGGAAGUUUAAUGUGUUCCCUCCCACUCCUACUCUCACAAUCCACCCAAUUCCAAUACUUCGUCAUGGCUUAGAUGAUUUUUCGGUCGCCUUUCUUCACAAGCAUGACCUUUCUGUGAGAGUGAGGAUGUACUGAAUCCUCUGAUUCAAAUGAAGAGAGAGAAGAUUGAGAAAAGACAGUUUUGCAAGUUCACACAGAAGCAGUGCCAGCAGUAAACUAAAUGUUCAAGACCUUCACCUUUUGGAAUGAGGAGCUAUUGUCUGUGGAUGAUUGCUAGACUGGCUUGACACUUUUGUAGUAGAAAAAAAUUACACGAUCAAGAGGAUAUAACAAGUCUGGAUCACUCAAACGUUUCCAAGGGGGCAAAUCAGGAUUCCAUCUUAAAGUGAAAAAGACAUAUGUUUUUAACUAGAAUGGUAAGUAUUAGAAAAUAUUGUGAUGAAGACAGUUCUCACAAGACCCUGGCACCAGUGAAGUCAAUGAAGAAAAACCCACUAACUAAAUUAAACAUGUCUGGAUUUUAAUAUAACUUUCUUGAGAUGCAUAUAGCUAUGAAAUAGCUGAUGAGGUGGCAAGGCUACAUUUUCCUUUCUAUGUACUCUUUUUUUAUGUUACUGUCUGUAGGCGGUUUGUGAGCCAGACUUGAUUCAGCAUGUUACAAAUAAGUAUACACUGUAUUCUCUAACAGAGACAUUAUCUUUGUUCUUAUUUCCAUUUAUAUUUUUCCCUUAUAAUAAAAUAAAUUAUUCAAACUGAAA